CGUGUAGGCGGAGACUGCAAGUCAGGAGUGAAAUCCCGGGCUCAACCCGGAACUGCUUUGAACUGUAUCCCUUGAGUGUCGGAGAGGCAAGCGGAAUUCCUAGUGUAGCGGUGAAAUGCGUAGAUAUUAGGAGGAACACCAGUGGCGAAGGCGGCUUGCUGGACGAUAACUGACGCUGAGGCGCGAAAGCGUGGGGAGCAAACA
Molecule: ribosomal RNA, 204 nt
Filed under: uncultured bacterium
Lineage: Bacteria
Description: partial 16S ribosomal RNA
Rfam family: Bacterial small subunit ribosomal RNA
Source: RNAcentral